This 510-nucleotide ribosomal RNA is filed under the name uncultured bacterium. RNAcentral describes it as "partial 16S ribosomal RNA". It matches the Rfam family "Bacterial small subunit ribosomal RNA", at positions 28 to 507 of the family's 1533-position model. The record is from RNAcentral.
GACGAACGCUGGCGGCGUGCUUAACACAUGCAAGUCGAACGGAGAGCGAUGGAAGCUUGCUGCUAUCAAUCUUGGUGGCGAACGGGUGAGUAACGCGUAAUCAACCUUCGCUUCAGGGGUGGACAACAGUAGGAAACGACUGCUAAUACCGCAUACGAUCUAUUCUCGGCAUCGGGGAUAGAUGAAAGGUGGCCGCUACAUGUAAGCUAUCACUGCAGGAGGGGAGUGCGGCUGAUUCGCUAGUUGGCGGGGUAACGGCCCACCAAGGCGAUGAUCAGUAGCCGGUCUGAGAGGAUGAACGGCCACAUUGGGACUGAGACACGGCCCAGACUCCUACGGGAGGCAGCAGUGGGGAAUCUUCCGCAAUGGACGAAAGUCUGACGGAGCAACGCCGCGUGAGCGAUGACGGCCUUCGGGUUGUAAAGCUCUGUUAAUCGGGACGAAAGGCCUUCUUGCGAAUAGUGAGAAGGAUUGACGGUACCGGAAUAGAAAGCCACGGCUAACUACGUG